Molecule: ribosomal RNA, 231 nt
Filed under: uncultured Anaerococcus sp.
Lineage: Bacteria; Bacillati; Bacillota; Tissierellia; Tissierellales; Peptoniphilaceae
Description: partial 16S ribosomal RNA
Rfam family: Bacterial small subunit ribosomal RNA
Source: RNAcentral
CGGGUGAGUAACGCGUGAGUAACCUGCCUUACACAAGGGGAUAGCCUUUGGAAACGAAGAAUAAUACCCUAUAAAACCAUAAAAGCACAUGCUAGAAUGGUCAAAGUGCUAGCGGUGUAAGAUGGACUUGCGUCUGAUUAGCUAGUUGGUGAGAUAAAAGCUCACCAAGGCAACGAUCAGUAGCCGGCUUGAGAGAGUGUACGGCCACAUUGGGACUGAGACACGGCCCAG